Molecule: ribosomal RNA, 468 nt
Filed under: uncultured bacterium
Lineage: Bacteria
Description: partial 16S ribosomal RNA
Rfam family: Bacterial small subunit ribosomal RNA
Source: RNAcentral
GACGAACGCUGGCGGCGUGCUUAACACAUGCAAGUCGAACGGAAAGGCCCUGCUUUUGUGUGGUUCUCGAGUGGCGAACGGGUGAGUAACACGUGAGUAACCUGCCCUUUGCUUUGGGAUAACUUCAGGAAACUGGGGCUAAUACCGGAUAGGUGCUCCUGCUGCAUGGUGGGGGUUGGAAAGUUUCGGCGGAUGGGGAUGGACUCGCGGCUUAUCAGCUUGUUGGUGGAGUAGUUGCUUACCAAGGCUUUGACGGGUAGCCGGCAUGAGAGGGUGACCGGCCACAUUGCGACUGAGAUACGGACCAGACUCCUACGGGAGGCAGCAGUGGGGAAUAUUGCACAAUGGGGGGAAGCCUGAUGAAGCAACGCCGCGUGCGGGAUGACGGCCUUCGGGUUGUAAACCGCUUUCGCCUGUGACGAAGCGUGAGUGACGGUAAUGGGUAAAGAAGCACCGGCUAACUACGUG